GGUGGAGUGCCUUGCAACAAAGGGUGUCUAAUCUAGAUAAGUGGGAACUUCGAUUUGCUAGUCUUAUCUGCUGGUAUAUUUGGAAAGCUAGAAAUGAUAUGGUUUUUAAUUCUAGUGUGCCUCCCCAUUCUUAAGAUUGCAAAGGCUAAGAAUACCCUUAAGGAAAUGAUUUUCAUAACUUUUUCGCAACAGCAUUCUUUGUUGGCCCUUUCAAAUUCUAUCAGAAAUCGAUCCCAAAGAUGGCUGCCUCCUGGAGCAGGAUAUUUUAAAAAUAAUGAUGAUGGUUCUUAUGAUUUAAAGACUACUAAAGCAGCUGUUGGGGUUAUAUGUCGAAACUCUGAAGGAGAAUUGGUGGAUGGCUUCACGGAGUCUUCAUAUUGUUCAUCAUCUCUAGCAGCUGAAGGGAAAGUUCUAAGCGCAGCAUGCUGAUUGGCUUAUACUAGAAAUUAUGUUCCUUGUAUUAUUGAGCUAGACUCUUUAAAGACAGUGUUAAGUAUCAUGUCUUUGAA
This 509-nucleotide unclassified non-coding RNA is filed under the name Hevea brasiliensis (rubber tree). Lineage: Eukaryota; Viridiplantae; Streptophyta; Magnoliopsida; Malpighiales; Euphorbiaceae. The record is from RNAcentral.